This 901-nucleotide ribosomal RNA is filed under the name uncultured Listeria sp. RNAcentral describes it as "bacterial SSU rRNA". It matches the Rfam family "Bacterial small subunit ribosomal RNA", at positions 38 to 921 of the family's 1533-position model. Lineage: Bacteria; Bacillati; Bacillota; Bacilli; Caryophanales; Listeriaceae. The record is from RNAcentral.
CGCGGCGAUCUAUACAUGCAGUCGACGAACGGAGGAGAGCUUGCUCUUCCAAAGUUAGUGGCGGACGGGUGAGUAACACGUGGGCAACCUGCCUGUAAGUUGGGGAUAACUCCGGGAAACCGGGGCUAAUACCGAAUGAUAAAGUGUGGCGCAUGCCACGCUUUUGAAAGAUGGUUUCGGCUAUCGCUUACAGAUGGGCCCGCGGUGCAUUAGCUAGUUGGUAGGGUAAUGGCCUACCAAGGCAACGAUGCAUAGCCGACCUGAGAGGGUGAUCGGCCACACUGGGACUGAGACACGGCCCAGACUCCUACGGGAGGCAGCAGUAGGGAAUCUUCCGCAAUGGACGAAAGUCUGACGGAGCAACGCCGCGUGUAUGAAGAAGGUUUUCGGAUCGUAAAGUACUGUUGUUAGAGAAGAACAAGGAUAAGAGUAACUGCUUGUCCCUUGACGGUAUCUAACCAGAAAGCCACGGCUAACUACGUGCCAGCAGCCGCGGUAAUACGUAGGUGGCAAGCGUUGUCCGGAUUUAUUGGGCGUAAAGCGCGCGCAGGCGGUCUUUUAAGUCUGAUGUGAAAGCCCCCGGCUUAACCGGGGAGGGUCAUUGGAAACUGGAAGACUGGAGUGCAGAAGAGGAGAGUGGAAUUCCACGUGUAGCGGUGAAAUGCGUAGAUAUGUGGAGGAACACCAGUGGCGAAGGCGACUCUCUGGUCUGUAACUGACGCUGAGGCGCGAAAGCGUGGGGGAGCAAACAGGAUUAGAUACCCUGGUAGUCCACGCCGUAAACGAUGAGUGCUAAGUGUUACGGGGUUUCCGCCCCUUAGUGCUGCAGCUAACGCAUUAAGCACUCCGCCUGGAGAGUACGACCGCAAGGUUGAAACUCAAGAGGAUUUUGACGGGAAAA